Molecule: long non-coding RNA, 245 nt
Organism: Eurytemora carolleeae
Lineage: Eukaryota; Metazoa; Arthropoda; Copepoda; Calanoida; Temoridae
Exons: 3
Source: RefSeq, a predicted model, not a curated record
AGAUCUGAUAUGUUACGAUUUAUAAAUAAUUCCACAGUUCAAGUGUUAGAUACAUGUCAAGAGCCCGGGAACUCCUUGGUUUUGAGUGUUUUCUACAUCACUUUAUUCACCGCUUCUCUCUUCCUUUUCAUCCUUGUGAUAUUGAUAACUGUAGUACUAGCCUGCAGAGCACGAGGUCGGGUUCGAGUUAAACGAUCCUGGAUGAUAAACCUUGAUCUUAUCCCUGAAGAAAAGAAUAUAAUGAG